This 72-nucleotide transfer RNA is filed under the name Sphaerodactylus townsendi. RNAcentral's name for it is "tRNA-Ala". Lineage: Eukaryota; Metazoa; Chordata; Lepidosauria; Squamata; Sphaerodactylidae. The record is from RNAcentral.
GGGAGCGUGGCUCAGUGGCAGAGCAUCUUCUUGGCACACGGAAGUUCCCAAGUUCAAUUCCUGACAUCUCCA